This is a small nucleolar RNA of Talpa occidentalis (Iberian mole), 75 nucleotides long. RefSeq annotates it as small nucleolar RNA SNORD113/SNORD114 family. The record is from RefSeq and is a predicted model, not a curated record. NCBI's taxonomy places the organism in Eukaryota, Metazoa, Chordata, Mammalia, Eulipotyphla, Talpidae. The transcript has a single exon.
UGGACCAAUGAUGACAAUUGGUGGCGCAUGAGUCGCACGUGAUGAACGUUAUGUGUCUGAAACUCUGAGGUCCAA